GGAGCCUACCGGGCGCAGCAGUGGGGAAUAUUGCACAAUGGGGGAAACCCUGAUGCAGCAACGCCGCGUGAGUGAUGACGACCUUCGGGUUGUAAAGCUCGGUCUUCAGGGACGAUAAUGACGGUACCUGAGGAGGAAGCCACGGCUAACUACGUGCCAGCAGCCGCGGUAAUACGUAGGUGGCGAGCGUUGUCCGGAUUUACUGGGCGUAAAGGGAGCGUAGGCGGAUUUUUAAGUGAGAUGUGAAAUACUCGGGCUCAACUUGUGUGCUGC
RNAcentral lists this ribosomal RNA (273 nucleotides) under uncultured bacterium. RNAcentral's name for it is "partial 16S ribosomal RNA". It matches the Rfam family "Bacterial small subunit ribosomal RNA", at positions 333 to 624 of the family's 1533-position model. The record is from RNAcentral.